This 383-nucleotide ribosomal RNA is filed under the name Bacillus sp. ISL-40. RNAcentral describes it as "bacterial SSU rRNA". It matches the Rfam family "Bacterial small subunit ribosomal RNA", at positions 1 to 374 of the family's 1533-position model. Lineage: Bacteria; Bacillati; Bacillota; Bacilli; Caryophanales; Bacillaceae. The record is from RNAcentral.
UUCUUGGAGAGUUUGAUCCUGGCUCAGGACGAACGCUGGCGGCGUGCCUAAUACAUGCAAGUCGAGCGAAUCAAUAGGAGCUUGCUCCUGUUGGUUAGCGGCGGACGGGUGAGUAACACGUGGGCAACCUGCCUGUAAGACUGGGAUAACACCGGGAAACCGGUGCUAAUACCGGAUAAUCCUUUUCCUCUCAUGAGGAAAAGCUGAAAGUCGGUUUCGGCUGACACUUACAGAUGGGCCCGCGGCGCAUUAGCUAGUUGGUGAGGUAACGGCUCACCAAGGCGACGAUGCGUAGCCGACCUGAGAGGGUGAUCGGCCACACUGGGACUGAGACACGGCCCAGACUCCUACGGGAGGCAGCAGUAGGGAAUCUUCCACAAUGG